RNAcentral lists this transfer-messenger RNA (350 nucleotides) under Eubacteriales. RNAcentral's name for it is "UMGS1312 sp900550625 Standard tmRNA". It matches the Rfam family "transfer-messenger RNA". Rfam says of the family: Bacterial tmRNA, also known as 10Sa RNA or SsrA, is named for its dual tRNA and mRNA-like properties. Its role is to liberate the mRNA from a stalled ribosome. To accomplish this part of the tmRNA is used as a reading frame that ends in a translation stop signal. Lineage: Bacteria; Bacillati; Bacillota; Clostridia. The record is from RNAcentral. RNAcentral also lists the same sequence under 4 other names.
GGGGGCGUAAUGGUUUCGACGGGGAUCAUGAAGUGCGAUAAGCGGGCAGAGACCGGGCAAUCUCUAUAAUACGGCCCAUUUUAAAAUUAAACGCUGAUAACAAUAAGUUAGCAGUAGCCGCCUAAGUGCGGCUCGUCCGGCGCGAAGUACCGCGAUCGCGUGCAGGGCGUCAUGAAGCGGUAAAUGUGAACGGCCCGUUUCCCUUGAAGCCGUCAUAAAUUAAAGGGAUACCGAGAGGAACGCGGCGUCCGGCGCCGCCUCCUCCGGGAAUAAAAAACGCCGGACUGCGCCCGGAGAAAGUUGCGCGGAGCGGUUUUCGGACAGGAGUUCGAUUCUCCUCGCCUCCACCA